This 230-nucleotide ribosomal RNA is filed under the name uncultured bacterium. Its description in RNAcentral is "partial 16S ribosomal RNA". It matches the Rfam family "Bacterial small subunit ribosomal RNA", at positions 563 to 791 of the family's 1533-position model. The record is from RNAcentral.
AAGCGUGCGCACGGCGGUUAUACAAGACAGGCGUGAAAUCCCCGGGCUUAACCUGGGAAUGGCGUCUGUGACUGUAUGACUAGAGUGUGUCAGAGGGGGGUAGAAUUCCACGUGUAGCAGUGAAAUGCGUAGAUAUGUGGAGGAAUACCAAUGGCGAAGGCAGCCCCCUGGGAUAACACUGACGCUCAUGCACGAAAGCGUGGGGAGCAAACAGGAUUAGAUACCCUAGU